Molecule: ribosomal RNA, 156 nt
Filed under: uncultured Tulasnellaceae
Lineage: Eukaryota; Fungi; Basidiomycota; Agaricomycetes; Cantharellales; Tulasnellaceae
Description: 5.8S ribosomal RNA
Rfam family: 5.8S ribosomal RNA
About the family: 5.8S ribosomal RNA (5.8S rRNA) is a component of the large subunit of the eukaryotic ribosome. It is transcribed by RNA polymerase I as part of the 45S precursor that also contains 18S and 28S rRNA.
Source: RNAcentral
CAACUAUCAACAACGGAUCUCUUGGCAUCCCACUCGAUGAAGAACGCACGAAUUGCGAUAAGUAAUGUGAAUUGCAGAAUUCAGUGAAUCAUCGAAUCUUUGGAACGCACCUUGCACCUUUUGGUAUUCCGAAGGUAUGCCCGGUUGAGUAUUAUG